AGAAAAAUGAAAUUAUUCAGCUAACUCUUUAAAUACCUAUUUAAUUCUCUUGGAACUCUAAUUUCAACUCAUUUUCAUCAUAGAUAAUCAUUUCAUACAAUCCCCCCUUGCUUUCACAACAGAGUCAACGGAAAAUGACUCCAAGUGAAAGCAGAACCAUUACAGGACGGACAUGAAAAAGAAAAUUGAUAGAUGGGAGGAAUCUAACAUGCACUCACGAAAAAGUCGCAAACUGAAAAUCUAAGAAAAACACCCCAAAAAAAUAUAAAAAAAACAACUGUACCACACGGUCGCUUGUGUGAAGGAAGCAUAUUGAAACAACUCCCAAAUUAGCAUUUCAAAAUUAGCCUGUCCACAGGCAACGGCCAAACCAAGGUGAAACAAAACAAGCAUCAUGACUCAAUUUACCUCCUGAAGUCUAGGGAAUUCUCUCAACUUAGAUGUAUGUCUAUGUUCCUCAAAAUAGUGGCAGUCAACCAAAAUCGCUACUUAGCAACAGUAGGGGAAAAAAAUGCUCAAAGUCCCUAAAAUCAAGGAACAAUCAGUGAGUGAUCCCCAUGAUACCCCAGUCUAGAUCUCCAAAUACAGCCACAUCAAUGGUUGUGGUUCUUGGGGGAGGCCUACUCUUUCGGCUUUUGCCUUUGUGCUGAAAUUGCGAAAUUGAACUUUGCCUUCUAGUUGUUGUGCUGGUGGCUGGCACACGUGGGAGUGUUAGUCUGCUAACUUAGCAGUUUUUCUUAGAUUUUCAGUUUGCGACUUUUUCGUGAGUGCAUGUUAGAUUCCUCCCAUCUAUCAAUUUUCUUUUUCAUGUCCGUCCUGCAAUGAAUGCGUUCACCCAAACAGACACCAAACAAGACAAAACAUUGCGAUUACAAAACUUCCAAGUUAACACCAACCUCGGUAAAUCAAGGAAUACACAAUGCAGCCAAUCGGAUCCCUCGUGCACAGGGAAUACCAAAACGGACAAAUGAAUUUACUAGGUCGACCACAAACAGAUAUCGACAAAAGCCUGUGACCUGGGCCACAACCACAGACAGAACAACACAAUUGGCGCGUGCAUAUACAACUUCAUUGGCACAACUACUAAUUUAAACCAAUUUAGGCAAUUUACAGGAGCAUCCCUACUCCCUCCUACCGUCUCUGAUAUUUUAAGGAUGAGGUCCAACCUCAACUGCAUAUUUAAGUCCAACCUAAAUUGAAGAUUUUCCAGCAGUCCAACUUCCGCAGUCCAACUGCUUAAUAUCCUGCACGAAAUCGCCCCGCAAUAGGUUAGCUGCAUGGGAAUGGUCGUCAGGACAUGGAACAAAACGAUAUUCUUCUAACUACAGGCGCUAUAACUAAAAUACCCGAAAACAUUUCCAUAACACAGCGUAAGACCUUGGGCCUGAGACAGGCGGGUCCAGUGACACUGUGGCCCUAUCCAGGGGAGGCCCUGUACAAGGCCACACAGGCAGGAAGUCAAUCCACCCACAUUGCCAAGCAUCAACCAAAGGGACACCAACCAACCGCAACCACCCUGAAAUGAGGGCCGAAUAUUGCCUGCAGAGUUCACUCCAAUUUUCACAAUGUUUUUUUUACCUCUUUUGGGGGGGGGGGCAAGUCUUAAUUAGGGUGGUCAAACCCCCCAAUCCCGAUUCGAAACCCUGCUUAUUGGUGCUCUUUAUUAAGAGUGUGGUUCUCGUCUUAGGGAAGUGAACAUAGACAUGCCUCCUAGUCUGCCAUGGGGGCUGCAGUGAGGUGGGAGGUAUGAUAUCCUUAGGGGUGUUUCUGGGGUCUUCCCAAUAUAAACUGGGAGGUAUGAUAUCCUUAGGGGUGUUUCUGGGGUCUUCCCAAUAUAAACUGGGAGGUAUGAUAUCCUUAGGGGUGUUUCUGGGGUCUUCCCAAUAUAAACUGGGAGGUAUGAUAUCCUUAGGGGUGUUUCUGGGGUCUUCCCAAUAUAAACUGGGAGGUAUGAUAUCCUUAGGGGUGUUUCUGGGCUCUUCUGAAUAUAAACUGGGAGGUAUGAUAUCCUUAGGGGUGUUUCUGGGGUCUUCCCAAUAUAAA
Long non-coding RNA from Esox lucius (northern pike), 2043 nucleotides. The record is from Ensembl. Lineage: Eukaryota; Metazoa; Chordata; Actinopteri; Esociformes; Esocidae.